RNAcentral lists this ribosomal RNA (460 nucleotides) under uncultured bacterium. RNAcentral describes it as "partial 16S ribosomal RNA". It matches the Rfam family "Bacterial small subunit ribosomal RNA", at positions 338 to 795 of the family's 1533-position model. The record is from RNAcentral.
CCUACGGGGGGCAGCAGUGAGGAAUAUUGGUCAAUGGCCGUAAGGCUGAACCAGCCAAGUCGCGUGAAGGAAGAAGGAUCUAUGGUUUGUAAACUUCUUUUAUAGGGGAAUAAAGGUAUCCACGUGUGGAUAUUUGCAUUUACCCUAUGAAUAAGCAUCGGCUAACUCCGUGCCAGCCGCCGCGGUAAUACGGAGGAUGCGAGAGUUAUCCGGAUUUAUUUGGUUUAAAGUGGUCGUAGGUUGUUUUUUAAGUCAGCGGUGAAAGUUUGUGGCUCAACCAUAAAAUUGCCGUUGAAACUGGAAGACUUGAGUGUGUUUGAGGUAGGCGGAAUGCGUGGUGUAGCGGUGAAAUGCAUAGAUAUCACGCAGAACUCCGAAUGCGAAGGCAGCUUACUAAGCCAUAACUGACACUGAGGCACGAAAGCGUGGGGAUCAAACAGGAUUAGAUACCCCUGUAGUC